RNAcentral lists this transfer RNA (66 nucleotides) under Schizosaccharomyces octosporus. Its description in RNAcentral is "tRNA-Phe". Lineage: Eukaryota; Fungi; Ascomycota; Schizosaccharomycetes; Schizosaccharomycetales; Schizosaccharomycetaceae. The record is from RNAcentral.
GGUUCUUAUAUUAAAAAGGAAAAAUGUCUUAAAGCGACAUAUUUGGUUCAAUUCCAAAUAGAACUA